Molecule: long non-coding RNA, 225 nt
Organism: Manacus vitellinus (golden-collared manakin)
Lineage: Eukaryota; Metazoa; Chordata; Aves; Passeriformes; Pipridae
Exons: 3
Source: RefSeq, a predicted model, not a curated record
CUGCUACCUUAAAAAGGAUUUCAGACACGAUAAGGAGCUAAAAUUUCCUAAUUGCUUCCCAUAUUACUCGUAGGAAGGCUUUAGGCUGUCAAGAAUCAGGAGUUACUGGAUUGGAGCUUCUGCAACAGUUCCCAGGUUUAACUUUGCAGCAACAAGGGAAGGUAGCUGAAUAGAGGACAUGGUCAAAAGAAACCUACUCAAGUGCAUUGGUAGGAAUAAUGUAAG